This 841-nucleotide ribosomal RNA is filed under the name Microbacterium sp. RNAcentral describes it as "bacterial SSU rRNA". It matches the Rfam family "Bacterial small subunit ribosomal RNA", at positions 194 to 1049 of the family's 1533-position model. The record is from RNAcentral. Lineage: Bacteria; Bacillati; Actinomycetota; Actinomycetes; Micrococcales; Microbacteriaceae.
UGCGUCUGGAAAGAAUUUCGGUUGGGGAUGGGCUCGCGGCCUAUCAGCUUGUUGGUGAGGUAAUGGCUCACCAAGGCGUCGACGGGUAGCCGGCCUGAGAGGGUGACCGGCCACACUGGGACUGAGACACGGCCCAGACUCCUACGGGAGGCAGCAGUGGGGAAUAUUGCACAAUGGGCGCAAGCCUGAUGCAGCAACGCCGCGUGAGGGACGACGGCCUUCGGGUUGUAAACCUCUUUUAGCAGGGAAGAAGCGAAAGUGACGGUACCUGCAGAAAAAGCGCCGGCUAACUACGUGCCAGCAGCCGCGGUAAUACGUAGGGCGCAAGCGUUAUCCGGAAUUAUUGGGCGUAAAGAGCUCGUAGGCGGUUUGUCGCGUCUGCUGUGAAAUCCGGAGGCUCAACCUCCGGCCUGCAGUGGGUACGGGCAGACUAGAGUGCGGUAGGGGAGAUUGGAAUUCCUGGUGUAGCGGUGGAAUGCGCAGAUAUCAGGAGGAACACCGAUGGCGAAGGCAGAUCUCUGGGCCGUAACUGACGCUGAGGAGCGAAAGGGUGGGGAGCAAACAGGCUUAGAUACCCUGGUAGUCCACCCCGUAAACGUUGGGAACUAGUUGUGGGGUCCAUUCCACGGAUUCCGUGACGCAGCUAACGCAUUAAGUUCCCCGCCUGGGGAGUACGGCCGCAAGGCUAAAACUCAAAGGAAUUGACGGGGACCCGCACAAGCGGCGGAGCAUGCGGAUUAAUUCGAUGCAACGCGAAGAACCUUACCAAGGCUUGACAUAUACGAGAACGGGCACAGAAAUGGUCAACUCUUUGGACACUCGUAAACAGGUGGUGCAUGGU